RNAcentral lists this long non-coding RNA (2085 nucleotides) under Mus musculus (house mouse). Its description in RNAcentral is "long non-coding RNA chr9:72594922-72597007". Lineage: Eukaryota; Metazoa; Chordata; Mammalia; Rodentia; Muridae. The record is from RNAcentral.
UAAAUCUUUUUUUUUUUUAAUUUAAAAAAAAAAUAGUAUGUUGUAAUUAUAUAAUUUGUUAGAAAACUUUAACAAGAACAUUGUUGAUAUCUGGCAAGAAAACUCUCUAGCUUACUCAUAAGUUUUAACUGCUCGUUAAAGAAAGCAUAGUGGGGCUAUAAAAAGGAAUACAUACUUAAGAUGAGCUAAAUGAAGAACUUUAAUAUUUUGAGAAAAGUUGAAACUGAAAGUUGUUCAUUGUUACAAUCGGAAACUCUUUGAUGAGUAUCCACUGUGUGCUGGACCCUGAGUAUCUGAUGAGACUGACACCAGUUCUGUCCUCCCCAAGACUCUGUAUAUGUGGUGGGUGGGUGGAAUGGUAGUCUGUGUCUGUGAUGCCACACUGAUCCAGGAAGAGUCCAAGGGUAAAGUUAGCUUUAUAUUUGGGCUACAUGGGAAGCAGGAGGGAUGGAGGAAAAAGGUGUAUAUUUAUGAUUAGCAUAGGGUUAGUACAAACAGGGUAAUUAAAUACAAAAGACCUUCUUAAACUUAUAUACUUGAUCUUAGCCAAAAGGCCAAAAGGAGAUCUUUCUGAAACAUGUAAAAAGCUCGUCUGAAUUCAAUAAAAGAACAUUUGUACAAUAUGUUGAAGAAAGUCUGAGUUCAAGAUCCAGGAAAUUGACAUUGUCAGCAAACUUCUAUGACCAGGAAAAGUGUUUAACUGUUCUUUUAUCAUUUGGCACAUCUAUAAAAUGAAAUAGAGUGAAACUGCAUAAGGUUUAUUUUAGUCUAAAAUUAUAAACUUGUCUGAAGUAGAAAAUCUUGAAAAAUUGUCCAGAGAUGUCUUGCUAGUUUCCUAAAAAAAAAAAAAAAAAUUUUUUUUUUGUUUUUUGUUUUGUUUUUUUGAGGCAGGGUUUCUCUGUAUAGCCCUGAGUUAAAAGAAAUUUUUAACAAGUGAUGUGGUUUUUUUAAAGUUUGUUUAUUUAUGUAUUUUAUGAAUAUGGGUGCAUUGUCUGCAUGCAUUUCAGAAAAGGGCAUCAGAUCUCAUUAUAGACAGUUGUGAGCUGCCAUGUGGGUUUUAACAAUUGAACUUAGUAUCUGAGCCAUCUCUCCAGCCCCAACAAAUGAUGUUUUCAUGAUAGACUAUGAACAAAUCCAUGACAUGCAUAUAUUCCUGAAGUAUUGGCCUUGCCUAUUCAACAAUUCAUAUCACCUGCAGAGACAUCACCUCAGUUUGUAAAAAUGUGACCAUAAUGCAUGAAAACAGCUCAUAUUUUCCUAAUAAUGUUCUGUCUUGGGUAAAGCUUGGUUAUAUUUUACUAUUAAAUUAUAUUGAAUUUUUCUUUGAAAUCAAGAAAUAAUAAAAGUUUUUCUUAAGUAAAAGAGAUUGAGGUGGCUGUAUCUGGAGGAUAUCAUCCUUAGUGAGGUAACCCAAUUACAAAAGAAGUCAUUAAAUAUGCACUGACUGAUAAGUGGAUAUUAGCCCAAAAACUUAGAAUACCCAAGAUACAAUUUGCAAAACACAAGAAAAUCAAGAAGAAGGAAGACCAACGUGUAAAUACUUCAUUCCUCCUUAGAAUAGGGAACAAAAUACCCAUGGAAGGAGUUACAGAAACCAAGUUUGUAGCUAAGACGAAAGAAUGGACUAUCCAGAGACUACCCCACCCGGGGAUCCAUCCCAUAAUCAGCCACCAAACCCAGACACUAUUGCAUAUGCCAGGAAGAUUUUGCUGAAGGGACCCUGAUAUAGCUGUCUCUUGUGAAGCUAUGCCAGUGCCUGGCAAAUACAGAAGUGGAUGCUCACAGUCAUCUAUAGGAUGGAACACAGGGCUCCCAGUGGAGAAGCUAGAGAAAGCACCCAAAGAGCUGAAGGGGUCUGCAAUCCUAUAGGUGGAACAACAAUAUGAACUAAUCAGCACCUAGCUGCAUAUGUAGUAGAAGAUGGUGUAGUCGGACAUCAUUGGGAAGAGAGGCCCCUUGGUAUUGCAAACUUUAUGUGCCCCAGUACAGGGGAAUGCCAGGGCCAAGAAGUGGGAGUGAGUGGGUAGGAGAUCAGGGCAGGGGGAAGGUAUACGGAACUUUCAAGAUAGCAUUUAAAAUGUAAAU